UACGAAGGGGGCUAGCGUUGUUCGGAUUUACUGGGCGUAAAGCGCACGUAGGCGGAUCUUUAAGUCAGAGGUGAAAUCCCAAGGCUCAACCUUGGAACUGCCUUUGAUACUGGGGAUCUUGAGUCCGGGAGAGGUGAGUGGAACUGCGAGUGUAGAGGUGAAAUUCGUAGAUAUUCGCAAGAACACCAGUGGCGAAGGCGGCUUGCUGGGCCAGUUCUGACGCUGAGGAGCGAAAGCGUGGGGAGCGAACAGG
This 253-nucleotide ribosomal RNA is filed under the name uncultured bacterium. Its description in RNAcentral is "partial 16S ribosomal RNA". It matches the Rfam family "Bacterial small subunit ribosomal RNA", at positions 524 to 776 of the family's 1533-position model. The record is from RNAcentral.